This 496-nucleotide ribosomal RNA is filed under the name uncultured bacterium. RNAcentral's name for it is "partial 16S ribosomal RNA". It matches the Rfam family "Bacterial small subunit ribosomal RNA", at positions 29 to 507 of the family's 1533-position model. The record is from RNAcentral.
AUGAACGCUGGCGGCGUGCCUCAUACAUGCCAGUCUAGCGAACGGACGAGAAGCUUGCUUCUCUGAUGUUAGCGGCGGACGGGUGAGUAACACGUGGAUAACCUACCUAUAAGACUGGGAUAACUUCGGGAAACCGGAGCUAAUACCGGAUAAUAUUUUGAACCGCAUGGUUCAAAAGUGAAAGACGGUCUUGCUGUCACUUAUAGAUGGAUCCGCGCUGCAUUAGCUAGUUGGUAAGGUAACGGCUUACCAAGGCAACGAUGCAUAGCCGACCUGAGAGGGUGAUCGGCCACACUGGAACUGAGACACGGUCCAGACUCCUACGGGAGGCAGCAGUAGGGAAUCUUCCGCAAUGGGCGAAAGCCUGACGGAGCAACGCCGCGUGAGUGAUGAAGGUCUUCGGAUCGUAAAACUCUGUUAUUAGGGAAGAACAUAUGUGUAAGUAACUGUGCACAUCUUGACGGUACCUAAUCAGAAAGCCACGGCUAACUACGUG